UCUGCUAUUUCUUCUUUGCCUUUAAAAACGUGACUCUGAGUAACACAGAUUCAGGUCUGCAAAGCAUAGAAUGUGUUCGUUUAUGGCAGAAUUUGGCCCAGAACAUGCGAUUUUUUAAUCUCUUCCACACUGACUGUUUAUCUUCCUCUUCAAUAAAAUGUGAAACUUCUUUUUGAGACUGGGCAGCAUCCUCAUUGACCUGGGCUCCAGACUGGCCCUGCUUCCAAGUCGUUGCAAGUCUUUUCAGUUUGUGAUGAAAAAGUUCUUUCUUUUCUGCCUCUGGAGAUGCAUCACGAGAUUUUGUCUUUUGAGAUGAUGUUCAGGUGCAUGUUGCUUUUAGGAAAUGAUACCCCUUUUUUUACUCUUCCAUACUUUACCUAAUGGGAACAGCGAAUCUCUGCUCUGCUGAUCAUUUAACGUGGUUUCCACUGAAGUUAGAAGAUAUUUCGGUAACUCGGUUUGUAGCUCAGUUGGGAGAGCUGAAAACAAACCAUGAAACCUCGCUGAAAAAAUUCUCUUCUGAAUAG
RNAcentral lists this long non-coding RNA (527 nucleotides) under Coturnix japonica (Japanese quail). RNAcentral describes it as "lncRNA (ENSCJPG00005016406.1)". The record is from RNAcentral. Lineage: Eukaryota; Metazoa; Chordata; Aves; Galliformes; Phasianidae.